UACGGAGGAGGCAAGCGUUAUCCGGAAUUAUUGGGCGUAAAGCGUCCGCAGGUGGCACUUCAAGUCUGUCGUCAAAGACUGGGGCUUAACCCCGGAAAGGCGGUGGAAACUGAAGCGCUAGAGUGCGGUAGGGGUAGAGGGAAUUCCCGGUGUAGCGGUGAAAUGCGUAGAGAUCGGGAAGAACAUCGGUGGCGAAAGCGCUCUGCUGGACUGCAACUGACACUCAGGGACGAAAGCUAGGGGAGCGAAUGGG
Molecule: ribosomal RNA, 253 nt
Filed under: uncultured bacterium
Lineage: Bacteria
Description: partial 16S ribosomal RNA
Rfam family: Bacterial small subunit ribosomal RNA
Source: RNAcentral